UUGUUUUUUCCAUCGAUUUUCCUUCAAUUUGACGUCACGAUUUUCGUCGACGCAGUUUGACAGUUCUCUUCAGUUGGUCUUGUUUGGACUUGAUCAAAUCAGAGAAACUUUGAACCGAAUCGAACCAGUUUACGUUGUUGAAAAGUUUCGUGUGGAUUUUGGCCGGUUGAUUGAUUUCCUGAUUUCAGCCUUCGUGGUGGAGGUGGAGGAGAACGGGUCACAUCGUUGCUCCGGCGGGCCAUGCCGGAAGACGGGAAGGGGAGCACCCAGUCUGUGAUCGAGGAAGCGGAUUGGUGUUUAUUGGGAGGUGGCGAUGCGUGGUUUUUAUACGGUAACCAAAAAUAUUCCAAUCGAAUCCUGCUGACAACCCAGCGUUUCCGUGUUGUCCCACGGAACGGAAGCUGUAACGAUCG
This is a long non-coding RNA of Culex quinquefasciatus (southern house mosquito), 413 nucleotides long. RefSeq lists it as uncharacterized. NCBI's taxonomy places the organism in Eukaryota, Metazoa, Arthropoda, Insecta, Diptera, Culicidae. The transcript is spliced from 3 exons. The record is from RefSeq and is a predicted model, not a curated record.